Long non-coding RNA from Panthera uncia (snow leopard), 965 nucleotides. RefSeq lists it as uncharacterized. The record is from RefSeq and is a predicted model, not a curated record. Lineage: Eukaryota; Metazoa; Chordata; Mammalia; Carnivora; Felidae. The transcript has 5 exons.
CUAUCGCAGAGCAGGGCGUGAUGGGCGUCAUGAGUUGCCGGGCGGUUUCUUGCCCCCACUCGCUCAGUCUGCCCCCAGCUUAGGAUAGCGAUCGAGAUUCUCGAGGCUCGUACUCAACCGCCGUCCAGCGCGUGGGCAGAAGCUACGAAAGAGAUAUGUGAGCCCCGAACUGGAGAGUAGGAGGAACUCAAUGGGAUUCAGACUUCUUGUCAGAUUUUAGCUAGUGCCGAAAGGAGCAUGCCUUGACCAAUUCCUCCCUAACUGUCUCUAUGCUGCCUUGGGCUGUGGGAUGGAUAACAGAACUUUUGAAUCAUCACUGGAAUAAACUCAUUAGAGCCUCUUCUUCAUAACGCCGUAUCUGUCACUCAGGUACAAAGUCAUAAAAAGUACUGGACACCUUGGAUUUCUUGGUCCCUGAGCCUUGGACUCUGGAAAGGAAAUGUUCCAGUCCUCUUUCCAAGAAAAGGGCCUGCUGGCCUGCUGCCCACCCUCUGUCGUGCCUUGAGGGAAUCUGCAUUGUUUGCCCUUUUCCAGAGGAAUGAGGGAGCAGUGGCCGCCUGGCAGUCUGGGGGGCACCUGGACAUCCACCCACUGGAGGGAGACAUCCACCUACUGUUGACUCCCCCUGCCAGUUGUGACACCCACAUGUGUCUACCAGCAACCUUUCUCUGCGACCUCACCACACAUGAAGGAAGUGGCCAGACCUGCUCUGUCACCUGCCUGUGCAUCUCUGUCCCACCUGAGAGCUUCCACAGGCCCCGGUGCCUUCUUCCUCUUCGCCAUCUGUCUUGUGCUCAUCUCCUCCGAGAAGCCUUCCAUGACUAAUCCUACUCUCAGCUCCAACUCAUUCCUUGAAGAUUUAUACAAACUAGAUUUAGGUUCUCCCCUCGGUUUCGCAUCUCCUUCAGGAAUGGGUGCUCAGCUGACAGCUUCCUGUGGCAGAGAAAGCAUUAAGGAAUCAGCCA